AUUGAACGCUGGCGGCAUGCCUAACACAUGCAAGUCGAACGGCAACGGGCUCUAGCUUGCUAGAGCGCCCGGCGAGUGGCGAACGGGUGAGUAACGCGUAGGAAUAUACCUUUAAGUGGGGACAACUCGGGGGAAACUCGAGCUAAUACCGCAUAAUCUCUGAGGAGCAAAGCUGGGGACCUUCGGGCCUGGCGCUUAAAGAUUAGCCUGCGUCCGAUUAGCUAGUUGGUGGGGUAAAGGCCUACCAAGGCGACGAUCGGUAGCUGGUCUGAGAGGAUGAUCAGCCACAUUGGGACUGAGACACGGCCCAAACUCCUACGGGAGGCAGCAGUGGGGAAUCUUGCACAAUGGAGGAAACUCUGAUGCAGCGAUGCCGCGUGAGUGAAGAAGGCCCUAGGGUUGUAAAGCACUUUUAGUAGUGAGGAAGGCUCAGUAGUUAAUACCUACUGGGAUUGACGUUAGCUACAGAAAAAGCACCGGCUAAUUUCGUG
Molecule: ribosomal RNA, 491 nt
Filed under: uncultured bacterium
Lineage: Bacteria
Description: bacterial SSU rRNA
Rfam family: Bacterial small subunit ribosomal RNA
Source: RNAcentral